AUCUCUGUGUUGCUCAUCAGAGCCCCACAAGCUCUAUGAGCAGCUGAUACAGACAGGUAUUGCCCUCCACAUUGUUCUAGCUGGCUUUCAGUUGUAAUAAACACUGACCACAAAGAAAGGUUUUAUUUGGUUUAUAGGUUACAGCCAUUAAUCAAGGGAAGCCAGGCCAGGAACUGAAGCAGAGACAGACCACAGAGGAACACAGCUUACUAGCUUCCUUUCCUUGGUUUGCUCAGCUUGCUUGCUUGCUUAUCCAAUCCAGGACCACCUGUCCUCGGGUAGCUGACACACAGGCCAAUCUGGUAGUGGCAAUUUCUCAUUUAAGGUUCCCUCUUUCUAGGUGUGUCAAGUUGACAAGCAAGAUUAGCCAUUGGUUCCACUUUAAGAAUGAAGAUGCUAAGGCUGCCAGCGGGCAUCCUGGGCCCCAGUACAGAGAAGAUGCACAGGAUCUCCCUGGCCAGCCCAGGGUACAUUUGAGAGGCAUCAUCUGUGUCCUGUGAUACUGACUCCAGCCCAGUCUGGGACCUGGUACAACUGCAGCCUCCCUACUAGAAGCUUCUGAAGACUGUCAGCUUCCUGUUACUGCUGUAAGAAAUGCCCAUGCACUUGAUGGCUGAGAAGAGCACACAGCUGGGAUUGGAGAGAUGGCUCAGUGGUUGGGAGCAUUGGCUGCUUUUCCAGAGGACCCAGGUUCAGCUCCCAGUGCCCACACAGCAACUGACAACUGUCUGUAACUCCAGUUCCAGGGGGUCUGACACCUUUGUACCAAUGCACAUAAAAUAAAGUUAAAUAAAUUAUUUUUAAAAAA
Long non-coding RNA from Phodopus roborovskii (desert hamster), 808 nucleotides. RefSeq lists it as uncharacterized. The transcript has 2 exons. NCBI's taxonomy places the organism in Eukaryota, Metazoa, Chordata, Mammalia, Rodentia, Cricetidae. The record is from RefSeq and is a predicted model, not a curated record.